GACCCGGCACAAGGACGCCGCCUGGUGGAUGGCUUGGCUUGGGCGCCGACGAAGGCCGUGACAAGCUGCGAUAAGCCCCGGGUAGGCGCAUGUAGCCGUUGAUCCGGGGAUCGCCGAAUGGGACUUCCUGCCGGCGGUAAACCGCCGGCGCUCCGGGCACGGAGCGGGAACCCCCCGAAUUGAAGCAUCUAAGUAGGGGGAGGAAAAGAAACCAAUAGGGAUUCCCUGAGUAGGGGCGACCGAAAGGGGAGUAGGGCAAACCGAACCCGCUAUGGAAACAUGGCGGGGAUGUGGAGUUGCAGGGCCCAGCCGCCGC
This 316-nucleotide ribosomal RNA is filed under the name Candidatus Jordarchaeia archaeon. RNAcentral's name for it is "partial 23S ribosomal RNA". It matches the Rfam family "Archaeal large subunit ribosomal RNA", at positions 1 to 310 of the family's 2987-position model. Lineage: Archaea; Promethearchaeati; Candidatus Jordarchaeia. The record is from RNAcentral.